UGGGAUCAAAACAAAGGCACAGUGAAUUCCUCAUAGCAUCUUCUUUGGGAUUACUCAGGAACCAGAACUUGUCACACAAAUGUAAGAAAUUCUGCCAAGGAAUUCUGUUACUUAAGAGCAUCUCACAAGGCUCCAAUCAGAUCCCAGAAAAGGCUUCUUGAUACCAUCAAGGUAGAACCUA
Molecule: non-coding RNA, 181 nt
Organism: Tupaia belangeri (northern tree shrew)
Lineage: Eukaryota; Metazoa; Chordata; Mammalia; Scandentia; Tupaiidae
Source: Rfam